Symphalangus syndactylus (siamang) is the source of this 3001-nucleotide long non-coding RNA. RefSeq lists it as uncharacterized. The record is from RefSeq and is a predicted model, not a curated record. Lineage: Eukaryota; Metazoa; Chordata; Mammalia; Primates; Hylobatidae.
UCGUGAUCCACCCUCCUCGGCCUCCCAAAGUUCUGGGAUUACAGGCCUGAGCCACCACGCCCGGCCUUGAUAAAUUAUUUUGCUUUCUUUCCCCACUGAGAACUAGGUUUUUUGUUUGUUUCUUGUGUUCUUUUUACUUCCUUCCUCCUCCAGUCUUUUUUUUUUUGGAGAUGGAGUUUUGUGCUUAUUGCCCAGGCUGGAGUGCAAUGGUGUGAUCUCAGCUCACUGCAACCUCUGCCUCCUGGGUUCAAGCCAUUCUCCCAACUCAGCCUCCCAAGUAGCUGGUAUUAUAGGCAUGCGCCACCACAUCCGGCUAAUUUUUAUAUUUUUAGUAGAGACAGGGUUCCACCAUGCUGGCCAGGCUGGUUUUGAACUCCUGACCUCAAGUGAUCUGCCCACCUCCGCCUUCCCAAAGUGUUGGGAUUACAGGCGUGAGCCACCGCACCUGGCCCAGAGUGAUCUUUUAAAAUUGAAUGUUACUCUGCUGCUUAAAGCCUUCCAAUUACAUCUUACCACUUAAAAUAAUAUCCAGACUCCUUCACCAUGAGUAACAAAUCUAGUGACCUUAGAUCCCAGUUUAAAUUGCCUUGAUUCAUUUUCAAAACUGCCCUAUCUGCCUAAAAGCCUUACCUCUGCAAUUUCACAUCUUGUUAUAUGCAUUUUUUUUUUUUUCUGAGAUGGAGCUUCAUUCUUGUUACCCAGGAUGGAGUGCAAUGGUGUGAUCUCAGCUCACUGCAACCUCUGCCUCCCGGGUUCAAGCGAUUCUCUUGGCUUAGUCUCCCAAGUAGCUGAGACUACAGGCGUAGGCCACCACGCGCGGCUAGUUUUUGUACUUUUAGUAGAGAUCGGGUUUCGCCAUGUUGACUAGGCUGGUCUUGAACUGGCCUCACGUGAUCUGCCCGCCUCGGCCUCCCAACGUUCUGGGAUUACAGGCGUGAGCCACCACAACUGGCCCUAAGUGAUGUUUAUUUAAAGUGUCAGUCUGGGACCUAUCAGAAGACAAAAAUCACACUUUUUUUUUUUUUUUUUUUUUUUUUUUUACAGGGAAAGAAUAAUACAAAGAAUAUGAAGCUAUAGGCUGUGUGCGGUGGCUCAUGCGUGUAAUCUCAGCACUUUGGGAGGCUGAGGUGGGUGGAUGACCUGAAGUCAGGAGUUCGAGACCAGUCUGGCCAACAUGCUGAAACCCGGUCUCUCCUAAAAAUACAAAGAAAAAUUAUCUGGGCUUGGUGGCAGGCACCUGUAAUCCCAGCUGAGGCAGGAGAAUCGCUUGACCUGGGGAGGCGGAGAUGGCAGUGAACCAAGAUCGUACCAGGGCACUCCAGCCUGGGCAAUAAGAACAAAACUCCUUUAAAAAAAAAAAAGGUAUAAGACAAAAUGCAGUUUCCUAGAGCUGAAGGAGAUUAUCCAAGAAAGGACAUACUUGGAAGGAAGGCCACUGCCAUCUCCUCAAAACUGAGGUGCACACCUUACUGGAGAAUGUAGAGUUGCAGUCUACUGGAGAGCAGAGAAGUCUGGUGGUUUGCCUGGGUCAGUGCUGGUGUGCAGUCCCUGGGCAAGCAGGGAACACACAGCUGGUGACCAGACAUGCAGAUGUGCAGACGGAGUCGAGGCACCAGAGAGGUAGGAGGCCUGGAGUGUGGCAUCCCUGUGGAAAGUGACCACCAGGCGAGGGUGUGGCUGGGGGGGCAGGUCACCACCAAAUUUCCUCUCAUCUAUACUGCUGACCUAUGGUGCAGCCACUGGAACCAGCAAGAGAAUCCCCCUUCAUCCUGCUGUAUCCUUCCAGCACCAUCUACUGAGAAAGCAUUGUUCUUAGUACUCUAAAAAGGAAAUGCUUAAAGGAAUUCCAUCCAUUUAAAAGCAGGUAUUGAGGGAUGAAUUCGGAGCUGACAGACAAUAAAUUGACAACUAGCACAAUAAGUGUUAGAUGGCUGGGUAGAUAAUAGUGAGAUUUGGUUGAGGGGAUUUCCCCCUUCCACACCUCCCAAAGCCACCUGGGCUUUUAGAGAAAAUUCAGGUUAAAACUUGUCCCCCACUCCGACGCCCUCCUUUUUUUUUUUUUUGGAAUCAAAUGUUUGUUGCAGAAACUUGGCCAAGGUUCCCAGUGGCCCCAGAUAGUUGAGGUUGGGCUAGGGGGUCGCCUGCUCAGGGCCGGGCAAGUGAGACAAGGAAAAGGUGGAGGGAGCGCCUCCCGGCCUGCAGUGUCAGAGCUGCGAGAUUGUUUCAGCCAAGCUGCAGGUGAGGCUUAUGCGCCCGCUCCGGCUCCGGUUUCGGCUCCGGCUCCGCGCUGCGGGCCUUCAUCGCGCCGUCCUCUCUCAUCAUGAGCUGUAGAUACCCAAAGAAUGGCACCGAUGAAUCAUCUAGUAAAAAUCUGUCUUUUUGAUCGGGGGCCUUCGCUGCACUGGCGUGGCUGAAACUGCGGUUCUCACCAACGUCCACCCUGUUCCUCCCGUUCGCCGCCCUGCCCCCAGCGAGCACCGAGCCUGCCAGCCCCAGACUUGGCGCUGCGGCCGCGACCACCCACCUCCCCACAGUCCAGGCGCCGCAUAAGGCCCGGACUGGCGCACGAAGGCGGGGGCGGGGGGUUGCGGAAGUGGGGCGCAAAACUGGAGACCCUGCAAAAAGGCUGGGCCUGGGCCGCGCUGGCUCCCCCGCGAGUCCUCUUCACUGUGCAGUCGUGGGCAGCUGCAGAACCCUGUCAUUCUUAGUUAGCUCAUCAUCACUAAUAUUCUUUGCUAUGACCCAGGAUAUACCUGGAACCCAGCGACCUUGACCUGCCUUCCAAUGCAGUUGGGUCAACACUUCCCAGGACUUACGAGAAGUAAUCAUAGGAGGUGCUUCCAAACUCAGAGCUGCCCAGUAACAUCCACAAACCCAGAGAAUGGAGAAGAGACAGCUGUUACUGACAUAGAAAGAAGGAACUUGGCCUUUCUUUCAAGGAUAAAUUUCUUUCUUACCAGUCUCUGUGUGAGGUAUCUCAGCAGAAGACAUUUGCAAGGAU